GAGUAUCAAAAUUCCACAAUCAUAUUCAUAUACUAGUAUUUAUUUUCUGACAAUAUUUAGUGUGUGUGUUUUUUUUUUUUGACAUAUCUGACAAUUUAAUACUAUUAGGCUUUCACUCUGUCUUGUUUUUAUUUGUAAUAGUUGAUCUGUGUUUUUCAACUAUGCCUUCUGUGUUGGUGUUGAGCUUGUCUCAUGUCAUUCCCUCCUUUCUACAAUGUGGUAGUUUUGUUUGUACUUGUACCUCCAACCUUAGCAUGUCUAAUGCUAAGUGUUGUGUAGCUCAUUCUAAACUGAUGGCUGUUCCAAAUCUUGCAAAACUUUUGGUGUUUGCUCUCUGUUCUUUCCCCACAACACACUGUAUAGUCCCACAACUAACAGGAACCCACCUAAAACACUGAUCAAACACCAAACACCAAACACAUGCAAUCAUCAAGUUGGUGACGGAGUCAGAAAAAUUAUAGAGUCUGAGUAAAAUUAUGUGAUAUAACAUAUAAAUAGUUUAACAAAAAAAUAUCAGUUUUACCCUAAACUAACUCUUAAAAUUCUGAGUUAUAUCCUAAACUAAUGUUUAAAAAUACCAAAUUUUUUGGCCUCGGCAACUGCCCAGCUUCGCUCGAGUUAGAUGGAGCCAUAAUUAUGCAUUCUUUAUCUGUAAUUUAGUGCAAUAAUGGACCCAUAAAAAUUCUAAAAUUAAAAAUAAGAUUCUAAUUUAUGAAUUAACAACCAUAAACAAGUGCAUGGAGUUAUCUUCCCAAACUUAUUAUAUCGCCCAAGAAAAUUAUAGAUGAGAGGUUUGUAAUAAUGAGAGCUAGUGGUGUUGACAUGGCAAGAAACACAUGUCCUUUCUUCUCUAUAACUCACCCCUGUCACAAUAAUUCCCUACCAACACAAAUUCAUUAUAUACAAGUUAUAAUUUUGGUGCCCAUUUAUUUUAUAAGUCGUUUAGAAAUAUAUAAUGUGAAAGAAAAGUUAAAUAUUAUAGUAUUUUUUAAUUGUUAAAAUCUCUCUGAUAACUUUUAAUUCUUCAAAUAGAUUUUACUAUCAAGAUCACAAGAGUCUAAGUUUAUUUUAAAAUUUACUUUAAUAAUUAUUUUAUUUAUUUAUUUUAACACAAAGACGCACACACGAUUGUGCGCACGCAUGUAUACAUGAUUGUCCGCACGCACGUAGACAUACUAACUGGAAAAAAAAUUGGCGCCCCAAACUUUUAUGAGUUUAUGAGUUUAUUUUAAAUAUCGAAAUUGUUUACAAAUUUGUGCAUGCAUUCAAACUUUUAAAAUUGUUUUAUAACUAUAAUUAACGUCAUGUGUAAACAUUAUAGUUAAAAAAAAAUCAUGUGCAAAAAUGUACUUCCAAAAUAUAACCAAAAAUUGAUAAAAAAAAUUGAUAUAAUUUACCCAAAUUUUACUUAUAUUUUGCACAAAGCAGUAAAGUAUAAUCUCUAAUAUUUUGAUGUAUAUACCCGAAGAGAGAAAGGAAGAAAAUCUUGCAGAAGGUCCUGAAAGACAAAGGGGGUGCAAUUUUCC
RNAcentral lists this long non-coding RNA (1526 nucleotides) under Trifolium pratense (red clover). RNAcentral describes it as "long non-coding RNA (TPRA_LNC002572)". The record is from RNAcentral. Lineage: Eukaryota; Viridiplantae; Streptophyta; Magnoliopsida; Fabales; Fabaceae.